Molecule: regulatory RNA element, 202 nt
Organism: Enterococcus columbae
Lineage: Bacteria; Bacillati; Bacillota; Bacilli; Lactobacillales; Enterococcaceae
Rfam family: T-box leader
About the family: Uncharged tRNA acts as the effector for transcription antitermination of genes in the T-box leader family. T-boxes are found upstream of many aminoacyl-tRNA synthetase genes and some amino acid biosynthetic genes usually in Gram-positive bacteria.
Source: Rfam
AAUAGAUUUCCUAGAAAGACUAGUAAUUAUUGACUCCUUUUUAGAGAGCAGUUGGUUGGUGCAAAACUGUAUGGAAGAUAGUGAAUCCACUUUCUGAUAGGACUCACAAAGAAAUUUGUGACGGCUAGCAACCGUUACCUUGCGCAAAGUGUAGUAUGCAGAUACUAAAUUUAGGUGGCACCGCGUAAUUUACGUCCUAAGG